Molecule: ribosomal RNA, 1372 nt
Filed under: uncultured bacterium
Lineage: Bacteria
Description: bacterial SSU rRNA
Rfam family: Bacterial small subunit ribosomal RNA
Source: RNAcentral
GAUGAACGCUGGCGGCGUGCCUAAUACAUGCAAGUCGAGCGAACGGACGAGAAGCUUGCUUCUCUGAUGUUAGCGGCGGACGGGUGAGUAACACGUGGAUAACCUACCUAUAAGACUGGGAUAACUUCGGGAAACCGGAGCUAAUACCGGAUAAUAUUUUGAACCGCAUGGUUCAAAAGUGAAAGACGGUCUUGCUGUCACUUAUAGAUGGAUCCGCGCUGCAUUAGCUAGUUGGUAAGGUAACGGCUUACCAAGGCAACGAUGCAUAGCCGACCUGAGAGGGUGAUCGGCCACACUGGAACUGAGACGCGGUCCAGACUCCUACGGGAGGCAGCAGUAGGGAAUCUUCCGCAAUGGGCGAAAGCCUGACGGAGCAACGCCGCGUGAGUGAUGAAGGUCUUCGGAUCGUAAAACUCUGUUAUUAGGGAAGAACAUAUGUGUAAGUAACUGUGCACAUCUUGACGGUACCUAAUCAGAAAGCCACGGCUAACUACGUGCCAGCAGCCGCGGUAAUACGUAGGUGGCAAGCGUUAUCCGGAAUUAUUGGGCGUAAAGCGCGCGUAGGCGGUUUUUUAAGUCUGAUGUGAAAGCCCACGGCUCAACCGUGGAGGGUCAUUGGAAACUGGAAAACUUGAGUGCAGAAGAGGAAGGUGGAAUUCCAUGUGUAGCGGUGAAAUGCGCAGAGAUAUGGAGGAACACCAGUGGCGAAGGCGACUUUCUGGUCUGUAACUGACGCUGAUGUGCGAAAGCGUGGGGAUCAAACAGGAUUAGAUACCCUGGUAGUCCACGCCGUAAACGAUGAGUGCUAAGUGUUAGGGGGUUUCCGCCCCUUAGUGCUGCAGCUAACGCAUUAAGCACUCCGCCUGGGGAGUACGACCGCAAGGUUGAAACUCAAAGGAAUUGACGGGGACCCGCACAAGCGGUGGAGCAUGUGGUUUAAUUCGAAGCAACGCGAAGAACCUUACCAAAUCUUGACAUCCUUUGACAACUCUAGAGAUAGAGCUUUCCCCUUCGGGGGACAAAGUGACAGGUGGUGCAUGGUUGUCGUCAGCUCGUGUCGUGAGAUGUUGGGUUAAGUCCCGCAACGAGCGCAACCCUUAAGCUUAGUUGCCAUCAUUAAGUUGGGCACUCUAAGUUGACUGCCGGUGACAAACCGGAGGAAGGUGGGGAUGACGUCAAAUCAUCAUGCCCCUUAUGAUUUGGGCUACACACGUGCUACAAUGGACAAUACAAAGGGCAGCGAAACCGUGAGGUCAAGCAAAUCCCAUAAAGUUGUUCUCAGUUCGGAUUGUAGUCUGCAACUCGACUACAUGAAGCUGGAAUCGCUAGUAAUCGUAGAUCAGCAUGCUACGGUGAAUACGUUCCCGGGUCU